GGUACUGUACUGUACUGAGGGAACUGAGGAGGCUAGGGUACUGUACUGUACUGAGGGAACUGAGGAGGCUAGGGUACUGUACUGUACUGAGGGAACUGAGGAGGCUAGGGUACUGUACUGUACUGAGGGAACUGAGGAGGCUAGGGUACUGUACUGUACUGAGGGAACUGAGGAGGCUAGGGUACUGUACUGUACUGAGGGAACUGAGGAGGCUAGGGUACUGUACUGUACUGAGGGAACUGAGGAGGCUAGGGUACUGUACUGUACUGAGGGAACUGAGGAGGCUAGGGUACUGUACUGUACUGAGGGAACUGAGGAGGCUAGGGUACUGUACUGUACUGAGGGAACUGAGGAGGCUAGGGUACUGUACUGUACUGAGGGAACUGAGGAGGCUAGGGUACUGUACUGUACUGAGGGAACUGAGGAGGCUAGGGUACUGUACUGAGGGAACUGAGGAGGCUAGGGUACUGUACUGAGGGAACUGAGGAGGCUAGGGUACUGUACUGUACUGAGGGAAAGCAAACAAAUACAUGAACUAGCAGACUAGCAAAUAAUUAGAAGAACUUGAUUUUUAAUGAUUUUUCCAAAUGUUUGUAUAGCAAUGAAUCUAUGCAGUGAC
Oncorhynchus keta (chum salmon) is the source of this 619-nucleotide long non-coding RNA. RefSeq lists it as uncharacterized. The record is from RefSeq and is a predicted model, not a curated record. Lineage: Eukaryota; Metazoa; Chordata; Actinopteri; Salmoniformes; Salmonidae. The transcript is spliced from 4 exons.